UACGUAGGGUGCGAGCGUUGUCCGGAAUUAUUGGGCGUAAAGAGCUUGUAGGCGGUUUGUCGCGUCUGCUGUGAAAUCUCAAGGCUCAACCUUGAGCUUGCAGUGGGUACGGGCAGACUAGAGUGUGGUAGGGGAGACUGGAAUUCCUGGUGUAGCGGUGAAAUGCGCAGAUAUCAGGAGGAACACCGAUGGCGAAGGCAGGUCUCUGGGC
RNAcentral lists this ribosomal RNA (211 nucleotides) under uncultured bacterium. Its description in RNAcentral is "partial 16S ribosomal RNA". It matches the Rfam family "Bacterial small subunit ribosomal RNA", at positions 524 to 734 of the family's 1533-position model. The record is from RNAcentral.